RNAcentral lists this ribosomal RNA (379 nucleotides) under uncultured bacterium. RNAcentral's name for it is "bacterial SSU rRNA". It matches the Rfam family "Bacterial small subunit ribosomal RNA", at positions 521 to 896 of the family's 1533-position model. The record is from RNAcentral.
UAAAACGUAGGAGACAAACGUUAUCCGGAGUUACUGGGCGUAAAGGGCGUGUAGGCGGUUUGUUAAGUCUGGCGUGAAAGCUCUCGGCUAAACCGGGAGAGGUCGUUGGAUACUGGCAAACUAGAGGACGGUAGAGGCGUGUGGAAUUCCGGGUGUAGUGGUGAAAUGCGUAGAGAUCCGGAGGAACACCAGUGGCGAAGGCGACACGCUGGGCCGUACCUGACGCUAAAGCGCGACAGCAUGGGGAGCAAACGGGAUUAGAAACCCCGGUAGUCCAUGCCGUAAACGAUGCCAGCUAGGUGUUCAAGACGCGCAAGCGGCUGGGGUACCGAAGCAAACGCGAUAAGCUGGCCGCCUGGGGAGUACGGUCGCAAGGCUA